AGAGAUUGGAAAAGGAAAAAAAAAAAAAAAAGAGGGAGAUGAAUCAAAAGAAAUAGUGUUUGGUUGUGCUAGAUCAGAGAAGUGACGGAGGGCCCAAUACUCGCCGGAUCAUGCCAUGCACCGACAGUACUGUUUGUGGAUGCGUUCCAAUAAAUUGAAGGAUCUGAUGAUGAGAAGCCAAUUUGCUCUAUUUGAUUCUGGCAUGGCAUAUUCCAGGUCAACCUGCUUUGGUCUUGUUCAAUUUUCACUUCUUUCAUAGAGAUCCCGGAUUCACUAUUGCCACUCAUUUGCAGGUCUUCGAAAGGUGUUAAGGCCUGAAGGUGGUUAGGAGCUCUAGUAUCUUUGACACUGAACUUUUGCUGGUGAAAGCUAGAGGAAAGCAAAGUAGCCAUGGUUGGAGAAGUUGUGUUGGUGGAAGAAGUAGAACCAAAGAUGGAAUAAUUUGGAAGUAGUGAACUUGAAGUGACCACAUCUUGGAUUUGCUUAGCGGGGUUAAAGACAUUAGCUUCACUUGUCAUGAUUCCUGAUGAAAACCCUAAAGCAAGAGCAUUCAGCUGAGGUUGGAGAUCAUACCCAGAAACAGUAUCCACACUUGACGAGACUCUUGAAUUGAACCUUCCAGGAAAUGGGAGAUUCAUCUCAGAUGGGUUAGUGGGUAACCCAUAAAACAAAGGAUUGAUGUGAUUUGAAGUUGAAGAAAUAUCGAUUUGGGUUUGAGAAGGAGUGUUAGGGUUAUCACUAGAGACUGAAGUAGCUCCUUCAACGGCAGAUGCAGCCCUCUUCUUACGCUUGUUCUUUCUGCAUCCACCACCCACAGGAACAUUCCUCAAGGUUCCACCUCUGGUCCAAUAUCGUUUGCAAGCUUUGCAAAAGUGCCUGGGCUGGGAU
Molecule: unclassified non-coding RNA, 888 nt
Filed under: Hevea brasiliensis (rubber tree)
Lineage: Eukaryota; Viridiplantae; Streptophyta; Magnoliopsida; Malpighiales; Euphorbiaceae
Source: RNAcentral